AGACCCGAAACCCGGUGAUCUAGCCAUGGGCAGGUUGAAGGUUGGGUAACACUAACUGGAGGACCGAACCGACUAAUGUUGAAAAAUUAGCGGAUGACCUGUGGCUGGGGGUGAAAGGCCAAUCAAACCGGGAGAUAGCUGGUUCUCCCCGAAAGCUAUUUAGGUAGCGCCUCGUGAAUUCAUCUCCGGGGGUAGAGCACUGUUUCGGCUAGGGGGCCAUCCCGGCUUACCAACCCGAUGCAAACUGCGAAUACCGGAGAAUGUUAUCACGGGAGACACACGGCGGGUGCUAACGUCCGUCGUGAAGAGGGAAACAACCCAGACCGCCAGCUAAGGUCCCAAAGUCAUGGUUAAGUGGGAAACGAUGUGGGAAGGCCCAGACAGCCAGGAUGUUGGCUUAGAAGCAGCCAUCAUUUAAAGAAAGCGUAAUAGCUCACUGGUCGAGUCGGCCUGCGCGGAAGAUGUAACGGGGCUAAACCAUGCACCGAAGCUGCGGCAGCGAACGUAUCACCCAAGACAACUUUACGGAGUUGACGAUUGACGGAGCGAAGCGACGUCAAAGCGUUCAUUAAAGUCGAGUUGGCUUAGGGAUACGUUCGUUGGGUAGGGGAGCGUUCUGUAAGCCUGUGAAGGUGUGUCGUGAGGCAUGCUGG
This 653-nucleotide ribosomal RNA is filed under the name Salmonella enterica. Its description in RNAcentral is "partial 23S ribosomal RNA". It matches the Rfam family "Bacterial large subunit ribosomal RNA", at positions 711 to 1276 of the family's 2925-position model. Lineage: Bacteria; Pseudomonadati; Pseudomonadota; Gammaproteobacteria; Enterobacterales; Enterobacteriaceae. The record is from RNAcentral. RNAcentral also lists the same sequence under 2 other names.